CGCGUAAUACGGCUCAGUAACAUGUGGCUAACCUGCCCUCUGGACGGAACUAACCCCGGGUAACUGGGGAUAGUGUCCGAUAGGUGAAGAGGCCUGGAAUGGUUCUUCACUCAAAAAGCGUUGGAAUCAUGCUUUUCAACGUCGCCAGAGGAUGGGGCCGCAACCGAUCAGGCUGUUGGCGAGGUAACGGCUCACCAAACCUAUAACCGGUACGGGCCGCGGGAGCGGUAGCCCGGUUAUGGGCACUGAGACAAGGGCCCAGGCCCUACGGGGCGCAGCAGUCGCGCAAACUUUGCAAUACGCGAAAGCGUGACAGGGCUAUCCCGAGUGCCGUCCGCUGAGGAUGGCUUUUCUCCGGUGUAGUGAGCCGGAGGAAUAAGGAGAGGGCAAGUCUGGUGUCAGCCGCCGCGGUAAUACCAGCUCUCCGAGUGGUAGGGACGAUUAUUGGGCCUAAAGCGUCCGUAGCCGGCUAAACAAGUUUCCCGUUAAAUCCAGCGAUCUAACCGUUGGCCUGCGGGAAAUACUGUUUGGCUAGGGGGCGAGAGAGGCCAACGGUAUUCCCGGGGUAGGGGUGAAAUCUUAUAAUCCCGGGAGGACCACCAGUGGCGAAGGCUGUUGGCUAGAACGCGCUCGACGGUGAGGGACGAAAGCUGGGGGAGCGAACCGGAUUAGAUACCCGGGUAGUCCCAGCUGUAAACGAUGUAGACUAGGUGUUAGGGCGGCUACGAGCCGCUCUAGUGCCGCAGGAAAGCCAUUAAGUCUACCGCCUGGGGAUACGCCGCAAGGCUGAAC
Molecule: ribosomal RNA, 792 nt
Filed under: uncultured soil archaeon
Lineage: Archaea
Description: bacterial SSU rRNA
Rfam family: Archaeal small subunit ribosomal RNA
Source: RNAcentral